UAGAGUUUGAUCCUGGCUCAGGACGAACGCUGGCGGCGUGCUUAACACAUGCAAGUCGAACGAUGAAGCUCCAGCUUGCUGGGGUGGAAGAGUGGCGAACGGGUGAGUAACACGUGAGCAACCUGCCCAUCACUCUGGGAUAAGCGCUGGAAACGGCGUCUAAUACUGGAUACGACCCAUCACCGCAUGGUGUGUGGGUGGAAAGAUUUAUCGGUGGUGGAUGGGCUCGCGGCCUAUCAGCUUGUUGGUGGGGUAAUGGCCUACCAAGGCGACGACGGGUAGCCGGCCUGAGAGGGUGACCGGCCACACUGGGACUGAGACACGGCCCAGACUCCUACGGGAGGCAGCAGUGGGGAAUAUUGCACAAUGGGCGCAAGCCUGAUGCAGCAACGCCGCGUGAGGGAUGACGGCCUUCGGGUUGUAAACCUCUUUUAGUAGGGAAGAAGCGAAAGUGACGGUACCUGCAGAAAAAGCACCGGCUAACUACGUGCCAGCAGCCGCGGUAAUACGUAGGGUGCAAGCGUUGUCCGGAAUUAUUGGGCGUAAAGAGCUCGUAGCGGCUUGUCGCGUCUGCUGUGAAAUCCCGAGGCUCACCUCGGGCUUGCAGUGGGUACGGGCAGGCUAGAGUGCGGUAGGGGAGAUUGGAAUUCCUGGUUGUAGCGGUCAAUGCGCAGAUAUCAGGAGGAACACCGAUGGCGAAGGCAGAUCUCUGGGCCGCUACUGACGCUGAGGAGCGAAAGCAUGGGGGAGCGAACAGGAUUAGAUACCCUGGUAGU
Molecule: ribosomal RNA, 776 nt
Filed under: uncultured Leucobacter sp.
Lineage: Bacteria; Bacillati; Actinomycetota; Actinomycetes; Micrococcales; Microbacteriaceae
Description: bacterial SSU rRNA
Rfam family: Bacterial small subunit ribosomal RNA
Source: RNAcentral